RNAcentral lists this long non-coding RNA (531 nucleotides) under Anas platyrhynchos platyrhynchos (common mallard). RNAcentral describes it as "lncRNA (ENSAPLG00000024577.1)". The record is from RNAcentral. Lineage: Eukaryota; Metazoa; Chordata; Aves; Anseriformes; Anatidae.
CUGCUGUGUGUAAUCAGAAAGGAAACCACUGUCUUCUGAGAAUGCGGAUAAGUGGACAGUAGGACUUGAAAUAGAAGUUGACUCCAACUGUGAUUUUCAUCAUCACCACUGUUCUUUGGGGGGGAUGUUAUGGGUGUCGGGGGUAUGGGGAAAUGCCUUGUAAAGCACACGAAUACUCUAUGAUAUAUUUUGAAUUAAAUAAUAAAGUUACAGUAGCAAAAAGAUGUAUCUUAAUUUUCUUAAGAGUUGGGAUUUUUUUUUUUUUUUUUAAAGUCUUCCAGUGUAAUAGCUUUAUUCCUCCCUUUCAUCAUACGCUACUGUUGAGAAUGAGACCUCCCUGCAAAACACUUGGGAAUAGAAGGAAUAACCAAGUAUUUUUUUUUUUUUUAGCAUUUCAGUAAAGUGGCUCUUCCCAUUUAGGAAAGCUAUUCAGGGAAGCCACCAUACUUUGUAGUACCAACAAAGACAAAUGGCUCCUUACUUCAGAGGCCACAGUCCUUCAAGGUAGAAAUAAAUCUUAACCAGAAGUCA